This 343-nucleotide unclassified non-coding RNA is filed under the name soil metagenome. Its description in RNAcentral is "partial contains 5.8S ribosomal RNA, internal transcribed spacer 2, and large subunit ribosomal RNA". The stretch from base 1 to 120 matches the Rfam family "5.8S ribosomal RNA", at positions 35 to 154 of the family's 154-position model. The record is from RNAcentral.
GAUGAAGAACGCAGCGAAAUGCGAUAAGUAAUGUGAAUUGCAGAAUUCAGUGAAUCAUCGAGUUUUUGAACGCAUAUUGCGCCCUCUGGUAUUCCGGGGGGCAUGCCUGUUCGAGCGUCAUUAAAUAACCCUCAAGCAUAGCUUGGUGUUGGGCUUUUUUACGUCCUUGACUGGGAUGGGCCUAAAAAUUAGUGGCGAUGGCUUUUUUACUUUCAAGCGUAGUAAAUCUCGUCUUGCUAAAGAGGAAAAAGAUUUUUUUUCUGACAAAAAUUUUAACAUUUAAAGUUGACCUCGGAUCAGGUAGGAUUACCCGCUGAACUUAAGCAUAUCAAUAAGCGGAGGA